Molecule: ribosomal RNA, 443 nt
Filed under: uncultured prokaryote
Description: bacterial SSU rRNA
Rfam family: Bacterial small subunit ribosomal RNA
Source: RNAcentral
GUAACGGUAACAGAUUCUUCGGAAUGCUGACGAGUGGCGAACSGGUGAGUAAAGUAUAGUUAAUUUGCCUCUUAGAUAGGGAUAGCCAUUGGAAACGAUGAUUAAUACCCAAUACUCCUUUUACUGUAAGAGUAAAAGGGAAAUGCUUUUGUGCUAAGAGAUAAGACUAUAUGGUAUCAGGUASUUGGUGGGGUAAGAGCCUACCAAGCCAAUGACGCCUAGCUGGUCUGAGAGGAUGAUCAGCCACACUGGAACUGAGACACGGUCCAGACUCCUACGGGAGGCAGCAGUGGGGAAUAUUGCACAAUGGAGGAAACUCUGAUGCAGCAACGCCGCGUGGAGGAUGACCCAUUCCCGUGUGUAACUCCUUUUAUAUGGGAAGAUAAUGACGGUACCAUAUGAAUAAGCACCGGCUAACUCCGUGCCAGCACCCGCGUAUACGG